GUGGCAGCCGCCGCGGUAAAACCAGCACCUCAAGUGGUCAGGAUGAUUAUUGGGCCUAAAGCAUCCGUAGCCGGCUAUGUUAGUUUUCGGUUAAAUCCAUGUGCUCAACACAUGGGCUGUCGGAAAUACUGCAUAGCUAGGGAGUGGGAGAGGUAGACGGUACUCGGUAGGAAGGGGUAAAAUCCUUUGAUCUAUCGAUGACCACCAGUGGCGAAGGCGGUCUACCAGAACACGUCCGACGGUGAGGGAUGAAAGCUGGGGGAGCAAACCGGAUUAGAUACCCGGGUAGUCCCAGCUGUAAACUAUGCAAACUCAGUGAUGCAUUGGCUUGUGGCCAGUGCAGUGCCGCAGAGAAGUCGUUAAGUUUGCCGCCUGGGAAGUACGUACGCAAGUAUGAAACUUAAAGGAAUUGGCGGGGGAGCACCACAAGGGGUGAAGCCUGCGGUUCAAUUGGAGUCAACGCCAGAAAUCUUACCCGGAGAGACAGCAGAAUGAAGGUCAAGCUGAAGACUUUACCAGACAAGCUGAGAAGUGGUGCAUGGCCGUCGCCAGCUCGUGCCGUGAGAUGUCCUGUUAAGUCAGGUAACGAGCGAGAUCCCUGCCUCUAGUUGCCACCAUCACUCUCAGGAGUAGUGGGGCGAAUUAGCGGGACUGCCGCAGUUAAUGCGGAGGAAGGAGGGGGCCACGGCAGGUCAGUAUGCCCUGAAACUCUGGGGCCACACGCGGGCUGCAAUGGUAGUUACAGUGAGUUCCGAAUCCGAGAGGAGGAGGCAAUCUUCAAACGCUACCACAGUUAUGAUUGAGGGCUGCAACUCGCCCUCAUGAAUAUGGAAUCCCUAGUAACUGCGUGUCAUUACCGCGCGGUGAAUACGUCCCUGCUCCUUGCACACACCGCCCGUC
RNAcentral lists this ribosomal RNA (900 nucleotides) under uncultured archaeon. RNAcentral's name for it is "bacterial SSU rRNA". It matches the Rfam family "Archaeal small subunit ribosomal RNA", at positions 455 to 1354 of the family's 1478-position model. The record is from RNAcentral.